UGGACACCUUAGAAGAAGAGAGCUUUGUGCUGUCUUUCUCCUCCACCUCUGAUGAAUUUGCUGUUGUGGUUGGAUAUUUAGAGAACGUUAUCAUGGAUAACGAGUUCCAGUUAUUACAGAGAAAUUACAUGGACAAGUACUACCUGGAGUUUGAAGACACGGAAGAGAAUAAACUCACCUACACACCUAUUUUUAAUGAAUACAUUUCUGGUAGAAAAAUAUAUUGAAGAACAGCUGCUGGAGCGGAUUUCUGGAUUCAACAUGGCAGCUUUCACCACCACAUUACAGCACCAUAAAAAUGAAGCAGCUGGUGACAUAUUCGACAUGCUGCUACGUUCACGGUUUUGGACUACAGAGCAGAAAAAGAAGGCCGAGGACUAGACUUAAGCAGUGGCUUAGUGGUGACUUCGUUGUGUCAAUCAUCUUCUGUGCCAGCUUCCCAGAACAAUCUGCGGC
This 456-nucleotide long non-coding RNA is filed under the name Homo sapiens (human). RNAcentral describes it as "non-protein coding lnc-WDR45B-5:1". The record is from RNAcentral. Lineage: Eukaryota; Metazoa; Chordata; Mammalia; Primates; Hominidae.